GUGGUGGUGGUUUAGUGGUAGAAUUCUUGCCUUCCAUGCAAGAGACCUGGACUCAAUUCCUGGCCAAUGCA
RNAcentral lists this transfer RNA (71 nucleotides) under Loxodonta africana (African savanna elephant). It matches the Rfam family "tRNA". Rfam says of the family: Transfer RNA (tRNA) molecules are approximately 80 nucleotides in length. Their secondary structure includes four short double-helical elements and three loops (D, anti-codon, and T loops). Further hydrogen bonds mediate the characteristic L-shaped molecular structure. tRNAs have two regions of fundamental functional importance: the anti-codon, which is responsible for specific mRNA codon recognition, and the 3' end, to which the tRNAs corresponding amino acid is attached (by aminoacyl-tRNA synthetases). tRNAs cope with the degeneracy of the genetic code in two manners: having more than one tRNA (with a specific anti-codon) for a particular amino acid; and 'wobble' base-pairing, i.e. permitting non-standard base-pairing at the 3rd anti-codon position. Lineage: Eukaryota; Metazoa; Chordata; Mammalia; Proboscidea; Elephantidae. The record is from Rfam by way of RNAcentral.